GUUAGAUAUUAAAAUUUAAAUUUGUUUUAAUUAAAACAUUAUUAAAUUUAGUAAAGGAGAUUAAAAAUUAUUUUAUAUCUUUAAGUUAAAGUACUGUGAAGGAAUAACUUUAAUUAUAAAAAAGAAAAAAUUAAAUUUUGUACCUUUUGCAUCAUGGUUUAGCUAGAUUUCAGUUGAAUAUACAAUUUCUCGAAAUUUAAUGAGCUAUUUUUAACCCUUAUAUUAGUAAUUAGAAACUAAUUGUAGCAAAAAUUUUUUCAGAGUUAAAAAUAGAAAUGAAAUUUUAUUCGCAUUAAAUGAUAGCUAGUUUUUCCAUAAAAACAUAGAAGUGUUUUAAAUUAAAUUGUUUUUAAUAAAUAAAAUAAUUAAAAAUAUUUAAUUUAAUUAAACUUUUGAGGAUAAGCUCAAAGGUGUUAAUAAUUUUUGUAUAAAUUAAAAUUUAAAUUUAAGCUUGAAAAUAGCUAAAACUUAUGGAUUUUGUUAUAAUUUCAUUACUUAAAAAAAACAUAAUUAAUAUACUAAGCUAAAAGGAAAAAAUCUCUAAAAUUAAUUAAUGAGUUGAAUACAUGCUAAAAUGAGUAUUUUUUAAAACCUGUUUUUUCUAAAAAUAUAUAAUUUUGAAAUUUAUUUUCAUUUAUUUUUAUAAAAAUUAUAAAAAGGAACUCGGCAAAUAAAAUAUUCUGCCUGUUUAUUAAAAACAUGGCUCCCUGUAAUGAAACAAAAUAGGGAGUCGGACCUGCCCGGUGAAAUUUUAACGGCCGCGGUACUCUGACCGUGCAAAGGUAGCAUAAUCAUUUGCCUUAUAAUUGAAGGCUAGUAUGAAUGGUUUGACAAGAAUAUAGCUGUCUCUUUAUAAUUUUAUAGAACUUUAUCUUAAGGUGAAGAAGCUUUAAUUAAAUUAAAAGACAAGAAGACCCUAUCGAGCUUUAGAAAAAUUCAUAGGAAUUAAUUAAUAAUGACUUAAAAAAUUAACUAUUAAAUACUUUGGUUGGGGCGACUGAGGAACAAAUAAAGCUUCCUUUAAAUAAUAACACACAUACAGGUAUUGAUCCAAAAUUUUUGAUUAAAGAAAUUAGUUACCGUAGGGAUAACAGCAUUAUCUUUUUUGAGAGCUCUUAUCGAAAAAAAGGUUUGUGACCUCGAUGUUGGACCAGAAUAUCCUAAAGAUGCAGAAGUCUUUAAGGGUUGGUCUGUUCGACCAUUAAAAUUCUACGUGAUCUGAGUUUAGACCGGCGUGAGCCAGGUCAGUUUCUAUCUUUAAUUUAUUAAAUAGAUUUAGUACGAAAGGACCAACCUAUUGUAAAAAUUUGCUACAAUAUGAAGAAAUAUAAUAAAAACUUAAAAUAUUUAU
This 1351-nucleotide ribosomal RNA is filed under the name Unedogemmula unedo. RNAcentral's name for it is "partial large subunit ribosomal RNA". The stretch from base 875 to 1265 matches the Rfam family "Bacterial large subunit ribosomal RNA", at positions 2049 to 2651 of the family's 2925-position model. The record is from RNAcentral. Lineage: Eukaryota; Metazoa; Mollusca; Gastropoda; Neogastropoda; Turridae.